This is a long non-coding RNA of Marmota monax (woodchuck), 5588 nucleotides long. RefSeq lists it as uncharacterized. NCBI's taxonomy places the organism in Eukaryota, Metazoa, Chordata, Mammalia, Rodentia, Sciuridae. The record is from RefSeq and is a predicted model, not a curated record. The transcript has 3 exons.
ACUAGGAAGGACAUAACGCUUUUCAGAAUGAUUUCCAUCUUUAUGAGGGGUAAUGAGCUCAAAUGUCUUCCAAAGCCAGUGAGUGGAUAAUGUUAUUAGUGAAGUGGACCAGGCAUAUAUAAUAAAAGGGGUGGUGUGUCCAAAGACAUGGAAAUCUAGUUUAAAAAAUGCUCUCAUGCCAACAGACGCACAUAUGCCAGCUAGAUUCGGCCAGUAGGCUGCCACUGUGAGAUGCCUGGUCUAAGUGGUUAAAUUUAAGUUUAAGGGCUGGAAGCCUUUUGAAAAGUGCUGAAUGAGGAAGAGUUGGCUUCGUAGAAACAGAUAACCUCGCCCUGAAUUAAAAAUAUUUAGCAGAACUUGCCUAGCAGAGAAAAUGUCAAACUUUCUCUUGUCUUCGGUGCAUGAGGCCAGCAAGCAGAUGACUGAACGGAAGCAUAAGUGAGUCAUUUCUCUUAAGAAGUCUCAGACUUAGCAGGGAUAUUAACAAUGAGCAUUGAGGAAUUUUCCCUCUCAUUUUCUAGAAUUUCUGUCUUUUUCUGAGCAAACUAGGAAACAAAACUCAAAACAUCUCAAAGGGCCACUGUAAACAUGAUCAUUCCUUUGUACAGAGAAUCCCUACUUUCUGAAGUCAAUUAAUUAUUCCUUAAUUCAAAUCAACCCAGAGAUUUCAUGGAUAUCCCUGAUUUAAUUCCAUUUGCUUUGGGCUAUUCAGAAUUGCAGGAGAAUUGAAUGUCUCUUAGCAGAUCCUUUGCUAUAUUUGGGGAAUCAAGGGAAUGUCUGCCAGUGGCACUCACAGCUACCCUUCUGGUUUGUUUUCACUGUCACCAGUCCCAAAGUCGAGUUUCUUAUUGGUUUUCAAGUGAGUUUGUUUUCACAAGUCAAUUUGUGUGUGAUGGGAUCAGAUAAGCCCUUCCUACAGGAAAGAACAACAUUCUGAAGUCUGACUUGCUUUUAGAAAUCCUUGGCCCUAAAUCAGAGUUGGAGACAUGUUUAUAUCUGGGGCUAAAAAUGACCAACUGAGACUUGGUAAACAAGUAAAUGAACAUGACACUGGACCCAAAGGAGAAGAAUUGCAGCUUUGAUAAAUGGCAACUUGAUUUGGAAAAGAGAUGCCUUUAUUUAAACACCAUCAUAGCCAAGUGGCCUGGGAUGAAGACUUUGCAAUGGGUCUUUGAGCAGACCACAUGAGGUACGGCUCUGAAUUGCAAAGGAUCCUUUCAUUUGCCACUAAAUCAGUCCUUUAUCAAAACAGCACCAGCCUCUGAAAGAAGGUUUUCAUGUUGAAAAUAGAAUUUACUUGCAAAAAAACCUGGUUGAAUCUAUUAUAUAACUCAGAAGAAUUUUCCUUUACGUCAACACUGCUGUGUUUGAACUAGCCUUGUGGUCCCUUAAACAUGGAAGGAUUCGACUUAGCUUCAUUCCUUCUUGAUCUUGAAUGCUGAAGAAACCACAGUCUUAUUGGGGUCUCCACAAUGAACAGAAAUCUGCGGUUUCUACCUCUUAAUUCUUCCCCCAUCCCCACUGAGCCAGAGACAAGCAACCCAGUCCUCUCUCAUGGAAGUGGACCAAGGGAAGAUGUGCAAAAUGCCACUCCUCAUGGGAAAUCCUACUCUGGGGAGGUCUUACCAUGAAACUGGCACUAUUUCUGUGGAGACAAGGCACUUUAGUGAAAGGAACUUGUAGGGUGGAAGAUGCUUAAUUCUCUCUGCAUCACCUGCUUCUUCCCCAGCCCUGGGGCACUUACCUUCCAUCUUGGGAGUAGGAGGGAAGGGAGCGAGAGCUCCACCUCAGUUGGGUUCCCCCCUUUGUGAAUGCUCCAGCAUUCCCAAAGGAAGCAAGCACACCCAUUCCCACCAACUGUGUUGGUUUAAGUUCUGUACUGACCAACCAGGAAGAAUGCUAACAGAACAUGGAGGGGUAGAGAGAAAGGUUGGUUAGAGUACAGCUAAAGUUGAACCUCAAAGCUCUGGCUGGGACAUGGGGAUUCAUACGGGCUGAAGCAAUUGGGACAGAAUAAAGAACAAAAAUCUGUCCCCAAGAUACCUGGGUACCUGUGCAAAUUUGUCCCAUUGUGGCUGUGUGAUGUGGGCAGGUCAUUUGCCCUCACUGGGCCUUGGUUUUCCUCACCUGAAACAAGUGCUGGGGUAGAACUCUUGUUCUGGAAUGGUGGGUGACUUUAAACAGUUUGACAUUAUAUCCUAAAACAGAACACUUGAACACCCUAGGACCAAGAAAUUCCAAAAGAUACAAACAAGAAUGUUUUUAUCAGCACUUUUUGUAAUAUCCCAGACUGGGAAUUACCUGAAUAUUCAUUCACAGUCAAAUACAGUCAUGUAAUAAAAUACUAUGCAACAGAGAAAAGGCCAUGGACUACAAUUACAUGCAGUAACAUACAAUAACACUGACCCUAAGCAACUCCAAUUUAGAAGACCUAGAGUGGCUAUUUGCAUUUUCCAUGUUGGGACAAACUUGGCCUGUUUCGUGGGACUGUUGUGAAGCAUCAAGUGUGACAGUGUGUGGUGAAGAUGCUGCAUAAACUGGACAGAGAUUACUGUUCUGUUAUGAUAACAACUCAAAGGUAUUGAUUCCUGGUAAACUUCAUGUAGUCUCAAAUUUUGUGUCAGCAUCAGCUUCCUGAGUAUCCAGCCUGCGACUCUGUGACUGAGAUGUCACUGAUGCAGGAUAAGCAGAAGCUGUGUGCACUGUUCUGGGGCCCGGCCUUCAAAAACCUCCUGGGAAGAUCUCAUGCUUUCUCCGUCAGCUCUCUGGAUACAGACUUCAGUGAUGCCCUAGGGCAUGGUGGAGCCUCAAGAUGGAAAUAGCCUACGGAUCACGAGGAAGAGAGAUGCACCUACCCCUCACCUUGAACACCCUUCCAAAACCAUUAGGAGAAUUGGAAAUGAUCUUCUUUUGUACAAAGCCACUGAGUUUGGGGCAUCUACUUGUUAUUUUAGUCUAUCCUGACUUGUCUCCUUUUCUCAUUUGCCUCUUCAGAUGCAAAUAGAGGGGGUGGCCAUUGGCCAGGUGUGACUGGAAGUCCAGGUGCUCACUGUGUCUAGACUUAAGCAGGCCAGUGGUUACCACAGAACAAGAGAGAACAAGGCUUGGGGAGGCUUUUCUGUGCAGAGAUCCACAGUCCCUUAAAAUGUGGCUCAAUGCCACCAGAUUUGUCCAUCAAAAGGCAACUGGUUGCUUUUAGGAGCAGGAAUCAUGAGAUAGAGAGAAAGUAAGUUCUUAUUCCACUCCCUGAGUGGAGAGCAGAAUUAAAGAUCUUUUUAUGUGGCUCAAGGUUGGAAUGUAGGAAAAAGAGCAUGAUUCCCGUCACAAUGGAAUCAUCCAAUCCUUUUGUUAUUGUGUAGAGAGGGGUGGAUAGAUAGAUGAUAGAGUCAUGAUAUAUAAAAGGAUGGAUUGUAUACAGAUAAUGGGUAGAUGGAGAUGGUAGACAGGUGAUGGAUGAUAGACAAAUAUAAGUAGAUGAUAUUUAAUACUGGAUAGAGGGCAGGUAAGUAGAGAGGAAAUUGAGGUUCAGAGGCACUAAGGUAUGUUCCCACUGUCAGGUCACACAGGUCACACAUUAGUCAUAGAAACAAUUCAACUCUUGGUGGAAUUCACAACCCAAUUCUGCAUUCUUUCCUCUCUUGAGGAUGGCAAUGAACAUGUUCCAUUUGCACCAUACACAGGGUUUCACUAGUCUUAUACAAUGUUUUGCUUACUUUUGUUUUAUUAGGUUUAGAAUUAAUCCACUUGUACUCUAAUUUUAACUUAGGUUUUGUCAUUUUGUAGGGUUUUACAAGAUCUUUUUAUUUUUUCUUUCUUUUUUGAAUGGUGAUGGUGGAGUAGGCAUUUAAAAGCUGCAAUCCCUAAAUUCUUGCAUGUUCAAACAUGAUUUUUUGUUUGAAGGACAAUUUGGGUGGGUACACAAUUUCUUAGUAACACUUUUGCUUGGAACCCUUAGAAUGGAUUUAUUACAACAUAUCAGAGGAGACACCUAAGGUUGAACAAGUUGAGUUGGACAGUGGAGAAACCUUCAGUUCCUGGCUGUUUUAUUUUGACUGUGUACUGUUGGCAAUGGAGGGCGUUGAAGGUUUCUGUGCAAGGCAGUGGUAAUUAUUGUAGAUGGAUUUGUGAAGGAGGAGACUGAUCACAGAGAGGCCAGAUCAGAGCUACCACAUAAUGGUUAGGUGGCCAAGGCCUGAACUAGGGCAGUGGCAGUGUUAAUAGAUACACUGUGGAUGCAGAACUGAUAGAGUUCAGCAAGGUUAUCAAAGGGACAAGGACAAAGGGGGAGGGGAGCUGCUAAAAAACAAUGCCUGAGGUUAAACUGGGGGCAAUUAGGAAGAUAGUAUCAUUUAUAGAUCCACAGAAAGAAGGCAGAGGAAGGAAUGGAAAAGGGAAUGGGAAGAGGAAGAGAAGGGAAAGAGGAGAUCCAAGUGAAGACAUUUUGGAGGAGCAGGUAGAAGCCUCAGUGGAGCAGUCCAGAUACAGCUGAAAUCUGGGGCUGGAGUUCAGAGAAGAGGUUAGGGUGAAGGACAGCGUGAAGGUAGGAGUCUCUAAGUGGGAUAAGUAUGCCCAAUAUAAGUUUCUUUCCAAAGGUAAAUCCUUAGUCAUUUUCUGGAGGGUGUUGUGAAAACAGCCUCUGAAAUUCACUUGUUAACCUCAAGUUUCUUCAAGGCAGUGAGAGAAUUGCAACCUCUGCAGAGUGAACAACCCUGGGCUCCUAGACUUUCCUUGAGAUCUCAUUUCUACAUUCACAUGUUUUUCUUUCUUUUUUCUUGAUUAAUAUUUGCUAGAAGUUUAUUGAUUUUUUUCCAGGCUACAAAAAGAAACUUUUCUUGGGUUAAUGACUCAAUUACACCAUCUUUAUAUUUCCUUACUCUAUUAUGUAUUGAUGCUUUUCUUUCUAUUUUUCUUCGAUACCUGCCUACUCACUUUCAUUGAACUUUUAUUUGUCGAACUCUUUAAUUUUAUCUUUGGUAGUACAAAUAUUUAAAGCUGUAGAUCUCCUCACAAAUACUGCUUUCUCCAUAUGCCAGGUGGUCAGAGAUACAGCAUUUUCACUGACAUGAUUUUCUAAGUGAUCAUUAUUAUAGACAACUUUUCUGUUGGCUGAGAAAAACUUGUUAUUGUGUACUUUAUUUUAAAAUUCCACAGAUAUCUAUCUUUUUUUUUUUUCAAAGAAAAAACAAGGAAGCAGGGGGAAGCAAAUACAGGAAACAUCUAAAGUUACAUAACCUUUGUAAGAUUUGAGACUAGAACCCAGGUUGAUUGACUCUGGUCUAAUCAGUGAGAAAAUGUUUUUCUACUUCUAAAGUAAUUGUUCAAACUUGAGAGUUUCUGGAAAACUCUUCAGUGAAAUGUGAAAUGGAGAAUUGCAAUGUUUAGAGUUGGGAAGUCAGAUUCUGCCUUGGCUGCUUGAGAGCUUUUUGACUUUGAGCAAGUCUCUAGGUCUCUUUGAGUUUCAACCUCACUACUUGCAAUAUGGAAAAAUAACAUUAAUUUUAUAUUGUAAAGAUGAAACAUCAAAUUGUUACAUAAAAUGCCUCAUAUACCACAAGUGAUCCAUAAAUAUUCAUCUCUGCUCCUUUAAU